Molecule: ribosomal RNA, 250 nt
Filed under: uncultured Neisseria sp.
Lineage: Bacteria; Pseudomonadati; Pseudomonadota; Betaproteobacteria; Neisseriales; Neisseriaceae
Description: partial 16S ribosomal RNA
Rfam family: Bacterial small subunit ribosomal RNA
Source: RNAcentral
UACGUAGGGUGCGAGCGUUAAUCGGAAUUACUGGGCGUAAAGCGGGCGCAGACGGUUACUUAAGCGGGAUGUGAAAUCCCCGGGCUCAACCCGGGAACUGCGUUCCGAACUGGGUGGCUAGAGUGUGUCAGAGGGGGGUAGAAUUCCACGUGUAGCAGUGAAAUGCGUAGAGAUGUGGAGGAAUACCGAUGGCGAAGGCAGCCCCCUGGGAUAACACUGACGUUCAUGCCCGAAAGCGUGGGUAGCAAAC